RNAcentral lists this long non-coding RNA (8380 nucleotides) under Trifolium pratense (red clover). RNAcentral describes it as "long non-coding RNA (TPRA_LNC013132)". The record is from RNAcentral. Lineage: Eukaryota; Viridiplantae; Streptophyta; Magnoliopsida; Fabales; Fabaceae.
CUUAUUUGACAAUCCAGGUACCGUUCCCUGCACGGGUGACCAAGAUUGUAAAGUCCUUACAGGUUAUGUAGGUGAGUGUACUAAUGGCUUUUGUGAGUACUAUAGGCUUUAGGUGUGAUUCACUUGAAUGUGAAGGGAAAGACAUAUCUGCAUGAAUAACCUGAAGAACAAUAAGAGAGCAUGUCUGGAUUUUUUAGUCGUGUUCAUUUAUCUACAAUUUGUUAAUAAAAAAGCUAUUAUUUAUUUUCACUUAUGAAGAUGAUACAUAUGCUUGUAACAAAAAAAUGUAAUAUAUAAUUACAUAAAUUUAUAAUUUUGCUUUACAUAUAGUAUGUAUUCAAAUUACUCAGGCGGUCUUCUUAACUUUUCAAAAAAAUUAAAUUGUUGUUUUCUUCACUCCACUUUUUUAUAGGAUAUAAAAGAUUAAAUUAUUUUUAUUACAUAUCGGUGUAAAAUUAAUUUACAUCGACGAUAUGUAUCCUUUAAUUUUUUUUUGUCAACAUUUUGUUCAAGUUGUCAAUGUACAAUUUUAAAGAAUUGGGUUGAAUACCUUUUAAUUCUUCUAAACUAGCGUCCAGACAGGGUGCGUUCUGUGUCUGUCCGUGUCUAUUAUGUAAAUUUAUGUAAAAAAAAAUGCCUUAUAACCUUACGUUAUGGUGGUUUGUUGUAACAUCCUAAACUGCUUUCAGGAUGACCGAUUGACCCCACAAACCAACACGAGUCUUUUUCAGCGUACUUUGUCCUUACUCGCAUCUUUUUCUGGAAAACUUCCCAGAAGGUCACACAUCCAAAGACUACUCCAAGUCAAAGACGUUUAACUGUAGAGUUCUUAUCAAAUGAGCUACCGAAAAGAAGAUGCAUCUUGUUGGUAUAGGUAGUACCCAUCAAUCCUUAUAAGCCUUCAUUCCACCAUGCAAUCUUAAACCUGCACAGCCUCAAGAUCCCUCUCAUUUCGAUGUGAUUCGUUUUUGCCUAGAAGCUGCUAGGAGCCGCUAAUUGUCAUGUCUCAUGCACCGACAACCACGCCCCGCCCUCAUCAGACCCGGGCGUUACAUGCCCACCAGCUUUCGCCUGGUUCGUCCCCAAACCACAUCGUACUGGGAGAGGUCUGCUCUGAUACCAUUUGUAACAUUCCAAACUGCUUUCAGGAUGACCAACUGACCCCACAAACCAACACGAGUCUUUUUCAGCGUGCUUUGUCCUCACUCGCACGUUUUCCGGGAAAACUUCCUAGAAGGUCACCCAUCCAAAGACUACUCCAAGUCAAGCACGCUUAACUAUGGAGUUCUUAUCGAAUGAGCUACCAAAAAGAAGAUGCAUCUUGUUGGUAUAGGUAGUACCCAUCAAUCCUUAUAAGCCUUCAUUCCACCUUGCAAUCUGAAACCUGCACAGCCUCAGGAUCCCUCGCAUUCCGAUGUGAUUCGUUUUUGCCUAGAAGCUUCCAGGAGCCGCUAAUUGUCAUGCCUCAUGCACCGACAACCACUCCCCGACCUCUUCAGACCUCGGGCGUUGAUAAGUGCUAAAUUUUAGUGCUUUUACCUAUACAUUUUAAGCACUUAUUAACCUAUUUUAUAGGCAAUUUGAUGCAAAACCUCCAACUAUUUGUAAAUAUUAGUUUUAACUAGCAAAUUAAUAUUUUAACUAUUUUCACCUAUUUCUAAUCACUUUUGUAGGUUAAUAUAUCUCCUAGUUUUUAAUACUAUAAUAGUUAUUUAAUAUUGAACUUAUAUAUUUAUAUGACAGGUUAUUAAAAGAAAAGUAUAGAAGCUUAAUUAAGAAUGAAGAAAGCCAAAAGCUAAGAGGCGGUCAAGUGGAAGGUGCCACCGUUUAUUGUUUAUUAGUACCAAAGUACUUAAGUGUUAAGUUUCAAAGCCCCUAUAUAAGGCAUGCAAGACCAAGCAUAAUCGUUGAGUGGUUUUGAAUGGUACUGAGGUAGUUGAAUUGACUCUAGGAUUCAGAACAAACAUAAUCGUUGAAAGUGAGAAUGAAGUUCAUGCUAUGUUUUGAAUCCCAGAAUCAUUCUCUUCCUCAAGUCUUACUGAUUUGAAAAACUUGUGCUUGGAACACUUGGUGAUAAAGUGUAUGUUUAUUGAGUUCACAUGCCUUGAUUUUAGGACUCACAACAAAACAUAGUUGUUUUGUAUUUCGAGAGUUGUAUAUCUGAGUUCUAAAAUCAAGCAUAUGACUUUAUACCUUGAUGGAAUGUGUGAGGAGAUGGUCUAUAUGGAGGUGGGUGAAAGGAAUGACUGUUCUUGGCAUUUUGACAUAAUAAGGAUGCCAAUUUUUGUGUGAAAAAUCUCCAAAACCGUGAUUCUUUUAAAAUGCACCUCCUCGUAUCGUGCCUACGAUGAACAGUAUCGUGGCGCGAUGAUUUGGCUGUGUACAAGCUGUCUUCGUCCUUUUCUUGUCAUCGUCGCGCGAUGAUAGGCAUCGUGGCACGAUGACGGCUGACUUUAGUUGUUGACUUGGUCAAAUCUUGCAAUCUUUUUCCUAAAAAUGACAUAUUUUUGUAUUUUUGUGAUGAUAGGUUGCCUCCUAUUAAGCGCUUGUUUAACGUCGCGAAUCUGACACGAAUGUUUAAUGUUAUUCGUCCGUGUAUAAUAAAACUUCUUUCUGCACGGGUAUUGUUCCCCCUUCGUAUAUUUUCACGCGGUGUCCAUUCACUUUGAAUUUCAUGGAUGUUUUCGGGUCAAACAGCUCUACUACUCCAAAUGGUGAUACUUUUGUUAUUACGAAAGGUCCGGUCCAUUUGCAGCGUAGUUUUCCUGCAGUGAAUUUAAACCUAGAGUUGUACUCCAAUGCUUGUUGUCCUGGUUCAAACUCUUUCUUUUUUAUCUCCUUGUCGUGAAGUCGCCGCGUCUUUUCUUUAUAGAUAGUAGCANGUAUGCUCGUAGUCGUAGCUCCUCCAAUUCGUUGAGUUUGUCCAGUCUUGCUUGUCCUGCCAGUUGUUCAUCAAAGUUCAAAAAUAUGGUCGCCCAUAAUGCCUUAUAUUCCAAUUCUACUAGCAAGUAACAACUUUUUCCGUACACUAGUUGGUAUGGUGUUGUUCCGAUAUUGGUUUUGUAUGCCCAAAGUGCAUCAUCGAGUUUUUUCGCCCAAUCUUUCCUUGAAAAUGCUACAGUUUUUUCCAAUAUCUGUUUCAGUUGUCUAUUUGAUACUUCUACCUGGCCACACGUUUAUGGGUGAUAUGGCGUAGACACUUUAUGUUUUACUCCGUAGUGCAGCAGACUCUUCUCUAGAUACUUGUUUAGGAAAUGGGUUCCUCCAUUACUGAUGAGUAUUCUGGGAACUCCGAUUCUGGAGAAAAUGUUCUUUUUUAAGAAGGAAAUCACUGUCUGAGCAUCGUUUGUUACACAUGCUUGUGCUUCAACCCAUUUAGUUAUGUAGUCCACACAUACUAGGAUGUACGUUUUAUUAUCGGAUAUAGGAAAUGGUCCCAUAAAAUCUAUCCCUCAGCAGUCAAAGGGUUCUAUUUCUAAAAUCCCUUGCUGUGGCAUUUCGUCUCUUUUGGAGAUGUUACCUAUUCGCUGGCACCUAUCACAUUGCUGUACGAACUGAUCACAAUCUUGGUAGAUUGUUGGCCACCAAAAUCCGCUGUGUAGUAUUUUAGUAGCUGUUCGCCUACCGUUAUGGUCCCCCCCGUAGUCUGAAUUAUGGCAAUGCCACAUAAUUUUCUGUGCUUCUUCUUCAUUUACACAUCUUCUCAUGAAUCCAUCUUUCCCUUCUCUGUAAAGAAAUGGAACAUCCCACUAGUAUUGCCUAGCUUCCCUUAAGAAGUGUUUCCUUUGUUGCCAUGUGUAUUCUUUUGGGACAACCCUUACUGCCUUGUAGUUGGCCAUAUCUACAAACCAUGGUCUUUGUGAUACAUGUAGCAGCUGUUCAUCUGGGAACUCCUCCGCAAUGCUCCUUUCUUUGUUUGUUACUUCAGGAUUCUUUAGACGUGAUAAAUGAUCUGCCACCACAUUCUCUACUCCCUUUUUGUCUUUAAUCUCUAGGUCAAAUUCCUGUAAUAACAAAAUCCAUCGAAGGAGACGAGGCUUUGAUUCCUCUUUUGUCAAUAAAUGCUUUAGUACAGCAUGGUUUGCAUAAACUGUGACCUUUGAACCUACCAGAUAUGAUCUAAAUUUGUUCAAAGCAAAAACUACUGCCAGUAAUUCUUUUUCUGUUGUUGCAUAAUUAAUUUGAUGUCCGUUCAUCACUUUACUAGCAUAAUAGAUUGCAUGAAAAAACUUAUCAUGGCGCUGUCCUAAAACUGCGCCUACCGCAUAGUCGCUAGCAUCGCACAUAAGUUCGAAUGGUAAGUUUCAAUCGGGUGCAACAAUGACUGGAGCGGUGACUAGUCCCUCUUUUAAGGUAUUGAAGGCCUCAAGGCAUUCUUUAUCAAAUUUAAAAACGACAUAUUUAUUUAGUAGAUUGCAAAGCGGUAAUUUGGAUGUUUUUGAGAAAUCUUUCAUGAAGCAUCGGUAAAAUCCUGCAUGUCCAAGGAAGCUUCAUACUCCCUUGACAUUAAUGGGGGGUGGUAAUUUUGAUAUUACUUCGACUUUUGCCCUAUCCACCUCUAUGCAUUUCUUAGAAAUUUUGUGACCAAGGACAAUGCCCUCAGUAACCAUAAAAUGAAAUUUCUCCAAGUUGAGAACUAGGUUUGUGUCGACACAUAUUUUUAAAGCGGCAUCUAGGUGGUCUAAGCAAUUAUCGAAGGUUUUACCAAAGACAGAAAAAUCAUCCAUGAAUAAUUCCAUGAACUUUUCAAUCAUAUCAGAGAAAAUAGAAAGCAUGCACCUUUGAAAUGUUGUUGGUUCGUUGCACAAGCCAAACGACAUUCUCCUAUAGGCGAAUACUCCAUAGGGGCAUGCAAAAGUUGUCUUCUCUUGGUCUGCUGGGUCUACUGCUAUUUGAUUGUAUCCGGAAUAUCCGUCUAAGAAACAAUAGUAUGCUUGGCCGGCGAUUCUCUCGAUCAUUUGAUCUAUGAAUGGCAACGAGAAGUGGUCCUUCCUGGUGGCUUGAUUCAACCUUCUAUAAUCUAUGCACAUACGCCAUCCGGUUACGUUUCGAGUAGGAAUUAACUCGUUCUUUUCAUUCCUCAUGACUGUUAUUCCUCCUUUCUUUGGCACUACAUGCACUGGGCUUACCCAUUUNNNNNNNGCUGCCAGUAGUUUAUCUACCUCCUUUUUUACUACUUCACUCAUUGUUGGAUUUAGUCUGCGCUGCGGUUGCACUACCGGUUUGUAUUCUUCAUCUAAUUUUAUUUUGUGCAUGCAGUAUGCAUGGCUUAUUCCUUUGAGAUCGUCAAUACUCCACCCAAGUGUCGUUUUGUUUUUAUUUAAGAUGGAAAGGAGUCUGCCUUCUGCGUCUGGGAUAGCUCAUUACUGAUGAUUGCGGGUUGAGUUUUCCCCUCUCUUAAGAACACAUGUUUUAGGUGUGGAGGUAGCUCCUUAAACUCAGGUGGUUUUGGUUUUUCCGCUGGAUCGAAUUUAAGAGACUCGUAUCUAGAUGGGGUUUCAGUGGGGUCCUCUAACCAUUUUACACACAGGUUUGUUUCUUCAUCCUCUUCUUCCCCCUCGCUUCUACUAGUACUUUCUCGACACCAGAGGGAAUUAGUGUUGGUUGCUCUAUAAUAAAAUCAUCAGCUAGGUCGAGUUGGUAACAUUUCGAUGUCUCUUUGGUGUGGAUAGUUUUAUUGUUGUUGAACGUUACCACCCUCUCGUCAUCCUUGAAUUUUAUUAUACCGGUAUCCAUAUCGAUCAAUGCUUUUCCCGUGGUUAAGAAGGGUCUGCCUAAGAGUAUAGGUACUUCUUCAUCUUCUUCGAUGUCCAUGAUUACAAAGUCUGCUGGGAAAGUUGCAUCAUUUACUUGUACCAGUACAUCCUCUAGAACUUCGUGUGGGUAUACCUUAGUUCGGUCAGCCAGAAUGAUUGUCAUCCUAGUUGGUUUUAUUUCUCCGCAGUUCAAUUUUUUCAUAAUUAAUUGCAACAUCAGAUUUACGCUGCCCCCUAGGUCGCAAAGGGCUCGUCCAACUUCUACUCCACCAAUUGAGCAUGGUACAGUAAUGCUGCCUGGAUCUUUGCAUUUUUGUGGAAGCUUCUUUUGAAACAAGGCACUGCAUUCUUUGGUAAGCAUGACAGUUCCUUUUUCUGAAAAUUGAAUCUUUCCGCUUACAAGUUUUUUCAUAUUUUGUUGAAGGGUGGUGCAAUGCGUAAAAGAUCCUUUAUCGGCAUGCUUAUCUCUGUCUUGUUCAUGUACCCAUCAAUUUUUUUGUCGAUUUCUUUUUGAGUUUCUUUCUUUUCGUUUUUUGAUGGGUAUGGUUGAACAAGGACUGGUGAUCUUGGGAUUGUUUGGGUAGGAGGCGUUUGGAUUGGUUGAGGGUUUUCCUGAAUUGUUGGUUCGCUUUCUUCUAUAGGAUCCUCUGUGCUGUAUUCCUUAUGAAUCCUGCGUCUCGAUUGCUUCCGUAUUUCUGUGUUGCGUUGGUCUGUCUAUCGGAUUUAUUCUCCGAUUGCGCAGCUCAAUCGCCUGACAUUGUUCCCUAAGCCUGGACAUUUCUUCGGUCAAGCGUUGAAUUUCAUUCCUUGAAGAUGUCAUGUGUUCUCCCAUAGCUGUUGUGAACUGAAUCAUCAUUACCUCGAGUUUGGUAGCUUGAGCGGUUUCCCCCUUUGAUUCGGUAUCUUCUUCCUGGAAUCUUUUUAUUCCUUCAUGUUGUUCCUUUUGUUGUAAGACUUCCAGUUGCUCUACUAUCUUGUUGUAUUGAUUUUGGCACAUAUUUUGGAUUAAUCCUUCUACCUCAACAUGAGUUUUCUAUAGGAGUUUUCUGUGGGAAUGAACCACCCAUAGCCCAAAGCAAAGUACAAAUUAAUGCAACCCAUUACAAUAUGCCGGUUCAGAUCCACUACAAAGAAAACAACAAUCAUCGGGACAUUCUCCUUGAAAUUGAGAGAAUUGUACUACGUCUUCCCAAAUCACCACCAUAAAGUGAGACCAAAGGGGGACACAAAACCUUUAUCAGAGUCCAUCACCAAAAAACCGUGAUGAGAAUCCUACAAAAGAACACUCUAUUUUCAAUUUUAAUCCCUACCUUUUUACAAUUUAAUUUUUAAUUUGAAGUUAUAGAUAAAUUAGUAAAGAUAAAAAAACUAACUAGUUAAAUAAUUAAAAUAAUAAUAUUUUAAGACCUUAUCAAUGACAUGCCAUAAAAAAAGUAAGUUGAAACAUGCAACGUGAAUUUUAUAAAAAAGCUAAGACAAAAUAUUUAAAGUAAAAUAUAUAGUAUUUCUAAAGUAAAUUUUUAAAGUAAAUUUUCACAUCAAAUAAAUAAAUAUUUUAUAAAAAUACUAUUUUAAUGUUGAUAUUUUAAAAAUAUUCAUGAAUUUUCAAAAUUAUAUAUCAAUUACAAAUUGUGUUAUAAAUCUAUAAAAUCUGCAAUGAAUCGCACAGGUUUUUUACUAGUUUUAUAAAAAUAAAAAUGAAUUUUGAUAAUUAUCAACAUUUUUAUGAAAUAUUUAUUAAGGUUAAGUGAUGACCAAUUGAUUGAGUUUAACAGAUACAAGCGAUUAAUUAGAGACAUUUAAUAUUAAUUUAAUUUUUAUAAAUGGCUUAUUGCAACUCCUAAUUGAUAUAAACUAAUUAAUUAAGUUAAUUUCAUUUUUUUUGUCAAAAAAAGAAAAAGUUAAUUUCAUUUUUAAAUUUAUAAUUUCCUUUUAGCGAUUCCAAAGUGCUAAAAACUAUUUAAUUUAAGUAAAAAAAAAGCAUCAAAUUUGUACUUAUAAAGCAAUAAAAAGAAAUAUGUUUAUUCCAAGCAAACCAAAAAAAAAAAUGGCUCAAUUUUUUAUGUUUGCUUCUGCUUUGAUCAUUUUUCUUUCCCUAUUUGUUGUUGUAAUGGGCAUAACAAGUAUGUUAUUUUCAUACCAUUUGAAAAAGUUUCAAUUUAUAUUGAGGAGUGAUAUAUCAACAUAAAUUUGUAGACAAAAAUACGACACAUUCUCUCUCUUCCCUCACAGCACGCAAUUCGAAACAUGCAAAAAAUAUUAAAAAAAAAUAAAAAGUAUAUAAAUGUUGUAUAUUUGUUUGAUAUUUGUGUUUGAAUAACAUUUUUGAUUUAUAUUAUACACAAAAUUUAUCAUCUUUUCAUAACAUUGUUUUUUCUUAUUUGACAAUCCAGGUACCAUUCCCUGCACGUCUAACGCUGAUUGUAAAGUAGUUGAUGGUUUCGUAGGUGAGUGUGCUAAUGGCUUUUGUGAGUACUAUAGGACAUAGGUGUGGAUCACUUGAAUAUGAAGGGAAAGACAUAUCUGCAUGAAUAAACGAGCAUGUUUGGAUUUUAGAUUCGUGCUCAUUAUCUACAAUUUGUUAAUAAAAAAGCUAUUAUUUAUUUUCACUUAUAUGAAGAUGA